AACGAACGCUGGCGGCAGGCCUAACACAUGCAAGUCGAACGCUCGUAGCAAUACGAGAGUGGCAGACGGGUGAGUAACACGUGGGAACCUUCCCUAUGGUUCGGAAUAGCCCAGGGAAACUUGGGGUAAUACCGGAUAAGCCCUUCGGGGAAAGGAUUUAUCGCCAUUGGAUGGGCCCGCGUCGGAUUAGCUAGUUGGUGGGGUAACGGCCGUACCAAGGCGACGAUCCGUAGCUUGUCUGAGAGGAUGAUCAGCCACACUGGGACUGAGACACGGCCCAGACUCCUACGGGAGGCAGCAGUGGGGAAUAUUGGACAAUGGGGGCGAACCCUGAUCCAGCGACGCCGCGUGUGUGAAGAAGGCCUGCGGGUUGUAAAGCACUUUUAG
RNAcentral lists this ribosomal RNA (387 nucleotides) under uncultured bacterium. RNAcentral's name for it is "bacterial SSU rRNA". It matches the Rfam family "Bacterial small subunit ribosomal RNA", at positions 29 to 439 of the family's 1533-position model. The record is from RNAcentral.